GGGAGUCCUGCUUUGAAAGAGGUGGGGGGGGCUGGCAGGCCCACGAGGGACCCUUUAAGGAAUGGGGGGGGGCCACGUGCCUGUGCCUGUGCUUGCUUGCUCUGCAGCGCCAAUCAUCCUUUUAGCCCCCGGAGCCCAAGAGAGGAAGGAUGCUGACCCCACCGGGAGCCCCAGGGGGAGCCAGGGGCGGCACUGUUCCUGUGAGGGGGGGCUGUUCAGGAGAAGACACCCCCCCUUCUGGAGAGGGUGUUUUGCAGAGCACCAGGAAACAGCCGAGGCGUUUUUUUGGCGACUCCCAGGCGCCCGCACUCUCUGCGCCCGCCUUCUUUGGGACGGCGGCCGAACGCCAUCCGAGACCCACAGGCCAGUGCGUGGGCGUUCUCUGUGCUGAGGAGUUGCCUCCGGCUUCUGGCAACCUUGACGGAGUGGUUUUCAAGCCAAUGGCCCAAGAGGGGGGGAUCAAGCUGCCCACCAGCAAGGAGGCCGGCGAGAGUCCCCCAGGAGACCCCCAGGAGGAGGACGGGGAGGAUGAGGUGUUUGUCCCCAGCAGCAAGGACGGCCCUGGGCCCAAGCCCCGCCCGGCCCCGAUCCCUCUGAGCAGCAGCGUGGAGGAGCUGUAUGAGCUGCUGGAGCAGCUGGGCAGCGGGCACUUUGGGGUGGUGAGGCGCUGCCAGGAGCGGAGCACGGGCGCUUUCUAUGCUGCCAAGUCGGUGAAGGUGCGCCGCCGGAAAGGCAGCCGGCUGGGCCUGGACCGCCAGCAGGUGGAGCGGGAGGUCGGGAUCCUGCGGCAGCUGCGCCACCCGAACAUCAUGCGCCUCCACGACCUCUUCGCCAGCACCGCCGAGAUGGUCCUGAUCCUGGAGCUCAUCCACGGGGGCGAGCUGUUUGACUUCAUUGCGGAGAAGGAGACGCUGACGGAGGAAGAAGCCGUUCCGUUCCUGAAGCAGAUUUUGCUGGGCGUCUCGUACAUGCACUCCUGCCGCAUUGCUCACUUCGACCUCAAGCCCGAGAACAUCAUGCUGUUCCAGAAGGACGUCCCCCACCCCACCAUCAAGAUCAUCGACUUCGGCCUGGCACAGAAACUCGAGGAGGGGGUCACGUUCAAAAGUUUGUGUGGGACCCCUCAGUACAUUGCUCCUGAAGUGGUCCACUACGAGGCCCUGAGCACAGCCACGGACAUGUGGAGCGUCGGCGUCAUCACGUACAUCCUGCUGAGCGGCAUGUCCCCUUUCCAGGGGGAGACGGAUGCCGAGACCCUUGCCAACGUCGUCUCCGGAAACUACGAGUUCGAGGAGAAAUACUUCAGCCAGACGUCGGAGAUGGCCAAGGACUUCAUCCGGCAGCUUCUGCUGAAGGAGCCAGGGGACCGAAUGACGGCCAGCGAGUGCCUCGUCCACUCGUGGAUCAAGCCCUUGAGCCGCAAGCAGGCCACCCACCGCAGCCGCUCCUCCAUCAACAUGAAGAACUUCCGCAGGUUCAACGCGCGCCGAAAGUGGAAGCUCUCCUUCCACAUGGUCUCCGCCUGCAGCCGCCUGUGCCAGUUGAGCCGCCUGUGCCAGCAGAGGAGGAAGGAGGAAGAGGAAAACCUGCGGGACUGUGAGAGUGACCAGGAGGAGACGUCCGGAAGCCCCGUGGCCCUGCUCCGCAGGCGGAGAAGCAUCUCUUCCUGAACGGGGGGGGGGCUCGCUCACGUCGCCCCAGGAGGGCCCUCACCUUGCUUGGAGGGGGGCCUCUCACAUCGUUUUUCCUGAGUGAAGACGCCGGCCGGCCGGCUGGUCUUUUCAGCGUCAGGAACACGCCACCCAGAGGACGGAUCUGCGCUCCCCCCCCCGGCACCUCUUCCAGCCACCGGCCAGCGGUCUCCCUGUUGUGGUCCCAGCCUGACCAGGGGCUGUGGGACUGUGGGUGUGAGCGAAGGGAGGGUGGCCCCUUGGGUGGGCUAGAGUGGAGGGGGCGUUUCGGGGCUUCUUGGGAGGCCUUCUCCCUCCCUGCACAGCAGAGCAGGCGGCCUCCGUUCCUCCCCUGCCUUGACUCAUGCUUUAAGGAGCUCUGUUGCAAGUUACAGCCACAGGUGCCUUUUCAAGGCUAGGCAGUGUGUGUGUGUGUGUGGGGGGGGGAGCCCUUCCCAUCCCUUUCCCUCAGUGCCACGUUCCCCUUCGGUCCAAAGGGUCUCGAGUGAGGUCGGGGGCUGGACACGGUCAAGCAAUCCUCGCUUUUCUUUUACAUAAGGAGGUUUAAAAGGGACCAGAUACAUCACUUCUUUCUUUCAGUCCUGUUUUAUGCUGAAGUUGGUAAAUGUUAAUGCUGAGGGACGGGGCACCUGCUUUAGUCACACUCCAGCCGAGGGGCUCAGAAGGCGAGGAAGCCUUUG
Non-coding RNA from Pogona vitticeps (central bearded dragon), 2371 nucleotides. The record is from RefSeq and is a predicted model, not a curated record. Lineage: Eukaryota; Metazoa; Chordata; Lepidosauria; Squamata; Agamidae.